Non-coding RNA from Phoenix dactylifera (date palm), 975 nucleotides. The record is from RefSeq and is a predicted model, not a curated record. Lineage: Eukaryota; Viridiplantae; Streptophyta; Magnoliopsida; Arecales; Arecaceae.
GGUGGUGGUGGCAGUUUAAGUGUUCACUGGGAUAUUGGAGGCGGUUGCAUGGCUCCUUUUGUGUCGGGCGGGGGGAGGUGGCUUUUAGAGGAUUAGAUCUCUUCUUCUUCUAGAAUUUAGAUCUAAUCUCUCAUUUCAAAUCCUAACUCUCUCAAAACCUUCAUCAUCUUCCUCAAACCUCAACCCCUUUCUUAUUUUUCUCUUUUAUUGGUCAUUUAUAGUUUGCUUAAUAUAUUGCAGUGUUGUCCCUUUGUGAAAUAGGAGAUCAAGGUUGAAGGUAUCCUCAAUCUUCAACGUGAGGAGCUAUUCUACAAGACUAGGUAACAGUAAAUACAGAUCGGAGGCUAUUCAGGCUAGGUGGAUUUGCUCAAGUAUAUAAAGCUUACAUUGACAGCAAUCCUGAUGAUGUGGUUGCACUAAAGCCUGCAUUUCCUUGGGAAUUCUACAUGUAUCGCCAACUUGAUAAGGGCAACUCUGAUGUUGAGCUGAAUGAGAUGUUAGUCUAUGGGUUAAAAGGUUCCACCUGCCUGAAGCUGAACUGCUUAAUGGUUGUGCUGCGAUGAUUGGGUUUUUUAUGGCUUCCUUCGUGGAUAGCUUGACAAGCAUGGGUCUUGUUGAUCAGAUGGGUAAUUUCUUUUGCAAAACUCUAUUACUUAUAGCUGUUGCUAGGGUGCUGCUUAUAAGAAAGAAUGAAAACAUUGAUACUCUGAAGAAGCUUCUUGAGGAAACAACCUUCUAUGACAAGUAGUGGCAAGCAACUUGGCUGGAGGAUGAAACCCCUAGUGUUUCCAAUAAAGAGUAGUUUGAUGUUCAUCUAGGAGUCACUCUAUUUCAUUUGAAGGCUUUCUAUUGUAUAUUCUUCUCAUUUUUUUUCUUAGUACCAUUGUAAAAGAUGAGCAUGGUGCCUUCUAACUGUUGUAGCAUAAAAUGUGUGAUCAUAUUUUGCUUAGUAUUAGUUUGAUUUGUUGUCGUUAA